AAAAAUGCUCUGGAAGCUGUCGAGCGUUAAUACUGCCCAUAGUACCAUUCAAGAGGACCAAUUGAAGUGAUGCAGAGGAAGAUUGGGAUAUCUUGGCCAGCAUAAUGAGUACGGAUGCUUACAGCCUUCCCUGACUUCAUGGAAUCAUCAGUGCAUGCAACAGUUACUUGAAGCUGAUUGCCAAGACUUACUAUGCCAUGGUUACAAGUACUACAGAAAACAAACCAGUGGCACCAGGUAGGCUCCCCUGCUGUGCUCCAGCAUUACUGAUUCCUCUGCCAGGUUGUGGGAUUCCAAUAGGAAACAGAGGGAGGCUGAACACUGCUGUUCUUCAGCUACAGAAAGGACCAGGUGACCAAAUCUUCUGGUUUGGGCCA
Long non-coding RNA from Oxyura jamaicensis (ruddy duck), 377 nucleotides. RefSeq lists it as uncharacterized. Lineage: Eukaryota; Metazoa; Chordata; Aves; Anseriformes; Anatidae. The transcript has 3 exons. The record is from RefSeq and is a predicted model, not a curated record.